UACGAAGGGAGCUAGCGUUGUUCGGAAUCACUGGGCGUAAAACGCACGUAGGCGGAUUUGUCAGUCGGGGGUGAAAUCCCGAGGCUCAACCUCUGAACUGCCUCCGAUACAGCAAAUCUCGAGUCCGGGAGAGGUGGGUGGAAUUCCUAGUGUAGAGGUGAAAUUCGUAGAUAUUAGGAAGAACACCAGUGGCGAAGGCGGCCCGCUGGCCCGGUGCUGCCGCUGAGGCGCGAUAGCGGGGGGAGCAAACACG
This 253-nucleotide ribosomal RNA is filed under the name uncultured bacterium. RNAcentral describes it as "partial 16S ribosomal RNA". It matches the Rfam family "Bacterial small subunit ribosomal RNA", at positions 524 to 776 of the family's 1533-position model. The record is from RNAcentral.